This 88-nucleotide non-coding RNA is filed under the name unclassified sequences. The record is from RNAcentral.
GUGAUACUGCCACCGGGCAGGAAUGUUUCAGGCAUUCGUUCCGCAUCGUUAGGUCUUUGAAGAUGCGGAGGCGGAUGCCUUUUUUGAA